RNAcentral lists this long non-coding RNA (208 nucleotides) under Phoenix dactylifera (date palm). Its description in RNAcentral is "long non-coding RNA (PDAC_LNC022845)". Lineage: Eukaryota; Viridiplantae; Streptophyta; Magnoliopsida; Arecales; Arecaceae. The record is from RNAcentral.
GAUAAGUGCUAAAUAAUAUAUAUAUUUAACUAUUUUAUACCGCACUUAUCAUUAUUUUUCUUGCACAUAUUUUAAAUUUAACAUAAGAAAAUGUGUUCCCCUUCAUCAUUGCAUUAUUAAAAAUAAUUCGAUUUCGCUUGAUUUUAUUGGUUAAGUCUAAUGUGUGCAGGUCAAGUCGAAUUAAUUGGGAUGAUGUCUGAACUAAUGU